GUAAUUUGAUAGGCCGAUGGUUGGACAACAGCAAGAGACCAAGAGACAAAAAAGUGAGGACAGGCAAACCAAAGUUGGCGUGCUCACUGAGGUCAACAUCUCAAAUAUCAAGGCUCUGAUUUUGCUCAACCACGACUGAUGGGUGGUCACAUGACACCAGAUUCCAUGCGAAAAGUCUCAAUACGUAACAUCUUCAACUCAUGAGAAUCCCUCAUCUAUGAUCCACCAAAAUAGAGGAGACACCAAACGGCAUGAAACGCCUCAAAUCUCUUCAUUGGGAGCCUGCAGAGCCAUUUGCAAUCUGUGGCAGGUGCACACAAGAUCCCAGCAAACCACCUGUCUCUGCCAUCAAGUACUGUUUGCCUAACCCCAGGUGGAGUUUGUACAGCCUAAACAGGACCCUUCAGUCGCCCCAGACCCUCAGAUCUGGAAUGAAGCAAGUGAUAUUCCUGAGACUGCCUAAGAACAUUUGAUUUCUGGAGGCAACAAUAUUUGUUUUGGUACCUUCUUAAUGUAACAAAAUGCCAUAACGUGUUCUUAAGGACUUCAUAAAUAAAACAGGAUCUGCCCUAUAA
Long non-coding RNA from Amblyraja radiata (thorny skate), 575 nucleotides. RefSeq lists it as uncharacterized. The transcript is spliced from 2 exons. Lineage: Eukaryota; Metazoa; Chordata; Chondrichthyes; Rajiformes; Rajidae. The record is from RefSeq and is a predicted model, not a curated record.